RNAcentral lists this ribosomal RNA (343 nucleotides) under uncultured Pseudomonadota bacterium. RNAcentral describes it as "bacterial SSU rRNA". It matches the Rfam family "Bacterial small subunit ribosomal RNA", at positions 29 to 351 of the family's 1533-position model. Lineage: Bacteria; Pseudomonadati; Pseudomonadota. The record is from RNAcentral.
AAUGAACGCUGGCGGCGUGCUUAACACAUGCAAGUCGUACGAGAAAUCCUUGGCUUGCCAGGGAGAGUAAAGUGGCGCACGGGUGAGUAUCGCGUGGGUAAUCUACCCCUGGAUUCAGGAUAACACUUCGAAAGGGGUGCUAAUACUGGAUAACAUCCUGAUGGUUUAGGCCAUAAGGAUCAAAGAUAGCCUCUACAUGUAAGCUAUUGUACAGGGAUGAGCCCGCGUACCAUUAGCUAGUUGGUGGGGUAAGGGCCUACCAAGGCAACGAUGGUUAGCUGGUCUGAGAGGAUGAUCAGCCACACUGGAACUGAAACACGGUCCAGACUCCUACGGGUGGCAG